CUACGGGUCGCAGCAGUGAGGAGUAUUGCACAAUGGGGGGAACCCUGAUGCAGCAACGCCGCGUGGAGGAUGACGCAUUUCGGUGUAUAAACUCCUUUUAUGAGUCAAGAAAAUGACGGUAGCUCAUGAAUAAGCACCGGCUAACUCCGUGCCAGCAGCCGCGGUAAUACGGAGGGUGCAAGCGUUACUCGGAAUCACUGGGCGUAAAGGACGCGUAGGCGGGUUGUCAAGUCAGGUGUGAAAUCCUACAGCUUAACUGUAGAACUGCACUUGAAACUGGCAGCCUAGAGUAUGGGAGGGGGAGAUGGAAUUAGUGGUGUAGGGGUAAAAUCCGUAGAUAUCACUAGGAAUACCUAAAGCGAAGGCGAUCUCCUGGAACAUUACUGACGCUAAGGCGUGAAAGCGUGGGGAGCAAACAGGAUUAGAUACCCUUGUAGUC
RNAcentral lists this ribosomal RNA (439 nucleotides) under uncultured bacterium. RNAcentral describes it as "partial 16S ribosomal RNA". It matches the Rfam family "Bacterial small subunit ribosomal RNA", at positions 339 to 795 of the family's 1533-position model. The record is from RNAcentral.